This 468-nucleotide ribosomal RNA is filed under the name uncultured bacterium. Its description in RNAcentral is "partial 16S ribosomal RNA". It matches the Rfam family "Bacterial small subunit ribosomal RNA", at positions 28 to 507 of the family's 1533-position model. The record is from RNAcentral.
GACGAACGCUGGCGGCGUGCUUAACACAUGCAAGUCGAACGGAAAGGCCCUGCUUUUGUGGGGUGCUCGAGUGGCGAACGGGUGAGUAACACGUGAGUAACCUGCCCUUGACUUUGGGAUAACUUCAGGAAACUGGGGCUAAUACCGGAUAGGAGCUCCUGCUGCAUGGUGGGGGUUGGAAAGUUUCGGCGGUUGGGGAUGGACUCGCGGCUUAUCAGCUUGUUGGUGGGGUAGUGGCUUACCAAGGCUUUGACGGGUAGCCGGCCUGAGAGGGUGACCGGCCACAUUGGGACUGAGAUACGGCCCAGACUCCUACGGGAGGCAGCAGUGGGGAAUAUUGCACAAUGGGCGGAAGCCUGAUGCAGCAACGCCGCGUGCGGGAUGACGGCCUUCGGGUUGUAAACCGCUUUCGCCCGUGACGAAGCGUGAGUGACGGUAAUGGGUAAAGGAGCACCGGCUAACUACGUG